RNAcentral lists this ribosomal RNA (421 nucleotides) under uncultured bacterium. RNAcentral's name for it is "bacterial SSU rRNA". It matches the Rfam family "Bacterial small subunit ribosomal RNA", at positions 355 to 774 of the family's 1533-position model. The record is from RNAcentral.
UAAGGAAUAUUGGUCAAUGGACGCAAGUCUGAACCAGCCAUGCCGCGUGAAGGAUUAAGGCCCUCUGGGUUGUAAACUUCUUUUAUCUGGGACGAAAACGGGAUUUUUAUCUCAAUUGACGGUACCAGAGGAAUAAGCACCGGCUAACUACGUGCCAGCAGCCGCGGUAAUACGUAGGGAGCAAGCGUUGUUCGGAUUUACUGGGCGUAAAGGGCGCGUAGGCGGCGCGGUAAGUCACUUGUGAAAUCUCUGAGCUUAACUCAGAACGGCCAAGUGAUACUGCUGUGCUAGAGUGCGGAAGAGGCAACCGGAAUUCUUGGUGUAGCGGUGAAAUGCGUAGAUAUCAAGAGGAACACCUGAGGCGAAGGCGGGUUGCUGGGCCGACACUGACGCUGAUGCGCGAAAGCCAGGGGAGCAAACG